This 253-nucleotide ribosomal RNA is filed under the name uncultured bacterium. RNAcentral describes it as "partial 16S ribosomal RNA". It matches the Rfam family "Bacterial small subunit ribosomal RNA", at positions 524 to 776 of the family's 1533-position model. The record is from RNAcentral.
UACGUAGGGUGCAAGCGUUAAUCGGAAUUACUGGGCGUAAAGGGCUCGUAGGUGGCCAACUAAGUCAGACGUGAAAUCCCUCGGCUUAACCGGGGAACUGCGUCUGAUACUGGAUGGCUAGAGUUUGGGAGAGGGAUGCGGAAUUCCAGGUGUAGCGGUGAAAUGCGUAGAUAUCUGGAGGAACACCGGUGGCGAAGGCGGCAUCCUGGACCAACACUGACGCUGAGGAGCGAAAGCCAGGGGAGCAGACGGG